GGCAACGUGGAAUACGACUCCCGGGCAGGAAUCUAGAUCCGGCAUCAUGGGGUGGAGAACAUCUUCUUGAUGAAAAAGGAUGUGAAAUGAAACGACAUAACCUUCAGUGGCAGAGAUAUUCCAAAAGGAGCUGAGAGGUCACUCUGAGCCACCUGUGACGUGUGUGGACUAACCUGGAAUCCAACAGGACAGAGGUCUGUUUCAGAACAGCCACAUGCAAAAGGCAAUAUCUCCAGUAAGCAAAGCAGCAACAUUUCUUCAACGUAACCUGCUCAAAGAAUCUGAUGAGAUCAAGUGUCAGCAUCACUGGAGGCUGAUGCUCAUCCACACCAUGAAGAAUAGACC
This is a long non-coding RNA of Choloepus didactylus (southern two-toed sloth), 345 nucleotides long. RefSeq lists it as uncharacterized. Lineage: Eukaryota; Metazoa; Chordata; Mammalia; Pilosa; Megalonychidae. The record is from RefSeq and is a predicted model, not a curated record. The transcript is spliced from 4 exons.